Molecule: long non-coding RNA, 8187 nt
Organism: Callithrix jacchus (white-tufted-ear marmoset)
Lineage: Eukaryota; Metazoa; Chordata; Mammalia; Primates; Cebidae
Source: RefSeq, a predicted model, not a curated record
AGUUGAAAAUUGUUUCCUUCUGCUGGUGUCUGAGGUGCUUUGUAGUAUGGGAUAGCUUACAUACUUUAGAAAGAACUUAGUCCUACCUUUGGUAAACUGUGGAUGGGGCAAGGACGCGGAGAUGUAAGAUGUUUUGUUUUUGUUCAUUCCAUGUUUUCAAUAAUUACAUACUGUCAGCUUUAUGGGAUCGCACGGCUUAACAGUGUCUAGUACACAGAAGAUGGUUAAUAGCAUUGAAUAAAUGAGAAUCUGGAAGAAUGAAUAAAUGAAUGGAUGAUGGUAUUGUAUCUCACAAGAUUUGUAAAAUGCUUACGAUUUCUGACUGCAGGCUUUGGAAUGACUGGGUUUCUGAGGUACUAAAAUCUAUAGAGAGGAAGCACAGAGCAAAGUCUGCGGAGGGGCCUCCUCUGACAUCCCACCUAUUCAACUAUGCAUGCAAAUGUGAUAGCAGUCCUGGAAGAUGAUUUUUAAAAGAAGAAUAAUAAAUAUGAUGAAAUAUAAAUGUACCAUCACAUAAUAUAUUCAAAGAUCACUUUACGUUCCUGUUUUGUACAGGUUAAUUUGCAUUUGGAUAGGCUAAUUAAAUUAAAUUUCGUGUUUCUGCAUUUGUUAGAGUGUAUUUGAUGACUCACUUAAGAACAGAUCUCUUACCUAGAGUGGGCACUUGUGGUGGCCAUGAAAGCGCUCUACCUUGAUCUUCUGCUGUGGGGUCGUAAUGAACUUAGAGUGACAGGCUCAUUCUGGAGAGACACAGGACUCAUCCUAAGAGUGACUAUGGUAUGGGGACUCUUUGUUGACCUGGAUUAACUCCCGAAUCGCUCUGCAGUCCAACCCUUCUACUACUCGAUGUCCCUUUCUUUCCUCUUUCCUUCAGUGGGUAUCAGAUUUCAGCUGAAGUCCAAAGGCUCUUGUUGCCUUCUCUUCUUCCUUUUGUCGAAAAAACUUUUGCCCAUCUAAAACCAUCUUGGUGUCUGCCUUCUGGAGUCAGGAUUUAGUUGAUGCAAAUGGUACCAAGACUCAUCCAGAAACCUGGCAAAAACUUGAAGAUUUGGGGCACACUCAAUCACCCCUGAGCAGAAGAAAGAUGCAAUAUCUUGAGUGACAGAUGGGGCCUGGGUAAUACCUGUCACUUGAUGGCAGUCCAGUUGCAGUGGUGUCUUGCAGGUGCAAUGACUCUGGUAGUUAAAAGCCAUGGGUGGGGAGGAUGGCAAUGCUUACGAGGACAGCAGAGACAGCUCAUUCAGCGUAAUUUGUAUUGAUAUGUCCUGCAGGAGGGUAAUGAAGAUUGCGGCUAUAAACAAGCAAGUCAAGGCUAAAUGUUAUGGGUGACGAUCCUGCGUGGCACCUUACGAAGAAGCCAUUUCUCCUACAACGGAAGGACAGACUCCGUCGAAUAACAGACUAAAAUCUGUGUAGUUAAAUUCACAGAGCUUCAGACAUUUGAAACCUCAGCCAAGCUAGGCCUGUAAUGUCUAGGUCAGGACCAUGGUUGGGAUAAUGUGAGACCCUGAAACGUGGAAUGAGGAUGCCUCUGAAGAUUUUAGCAUCGCAGACACCAUAACUUCAGAGCUUGCAGAGCGGCCCAUCCUUCUCUGUUAACACCUAUUAGAAAAUGCUGGAGAGGCCUCUCCCUUGCAAAGCAACAGCUGUCUACCUCAGGCGAUGCCACUACCUCCUCUCAUGGCUACUUGUACUAACCAUGCUUCUAGUUUCUGUAUCAGGGGUUCAAAUGCUUCUAUGCAGCCACUCACUCAGCAAAUGAUUAUAUAACUAGCUACAAAUAAAAUCAUCACAAGACGCUUUGAUGGCAGUCAUCAAUAGCCAGACUGAGGCUGCUCUUGGAGUGGUGUAGAUCAGGAGUUCUGAAGCCAACAACAACAGCAAGAUAUGGUCAACCGAUGAGACUCAGCAUCUCUGCGGGACAAGAUGUGAGACUGUGACUGGGCUCUGCAUGGUGUGGCUCAUUAAUCUCAUACCUUAGUAUUCGCUUCUGCAGGUUUGUGCAGCAGUCCACAGUUGUCGAGGAAGGAAGAAGAGUACAGCCUUAAGGCUGUUGGGAGGCUCAGGACAAAAAUUUACUAUUAGUGUCCAGCACUGAGCAGAAAUGACUCAACUCUAGUAUUCCUGCUGUGCCCAGUCAUUCACUAGGAGCAGCCCAGAGUCAGCAGGACCUUGAUGUUGAUACUGAAGCAGAUCCUAAGUUGAAGAAGGACAUGUUUGCUUCCCUUUCUGCCGAGAUUAUAAGUUUCCUGAGGCCUCCCCAGCCAAGUGGAACUGUCAAGGAUAAGCCAACUACAGGGGAGAGGAAGUGGAUGGAGCUAUUUUUGUGGCCUCAGCUGGGAUGCUUCUGAGGGGCAGUCAGCACAGACAGACAUGCCCUCAUUUCUUCUGUGUCCUCUGCCAGUGCUCCAGAACUGUGGAAUCUUUUCUCAUAGAGUUGUGGAACAACCCGGUGAGGACAAUGUAUUAGUCAGCGUUCUCUGGAUAAACAGAACCCAUGGGGUGAUGUGGAUGAGCUACAGGAGAAGCUGGCAGCUUUCCCCACAGUGCUGGACACACACAGGCUCAGGACUCAGAAGGGAAGAAAGGUCCCAUGGGGGUGAAAGUGCUGCAGGCCUGGGUGAAGUCCACAGAAACAAGUGACCUUGGAAACAUCCUGCUGAGAUGGAGAAACUAUGACUCAUUGUGUCUGCAUCCCUGAGCUUUCACCUGGAAGAGGCACCAACCUUGUGUGGGUAAGUCUGCAGACUUUCAUUGUCGAAGAUAUAUUUCACUCCGAAUAGUGAAUCAGAGUGAGGUGAAACAUCUGGCUAAUAAAACGUCUCAAACCUCAAACCACUUUAGAUAUCUGGAAAUCAUCUUUUCCACACAUUUAUUAUAAAACACAUAGAGAUGCAGAAAAAAAUGGCACUCCAUGUUGAAGAUGGAAAGUAAGUGACAUUGCUGUAAAAUCCUCGGAUUUCUUUUGUGUAGAUGUGGACUGUGAUUGCCAGUAUAUGGUGCAUAAAGUUGCUGGUCAUUGUGUAAAUUUAAAAUACGGCAGUUAGGCCUGUAAUCAUCUCCCAUACGUGAUGGCAAGCCAGGAGGUGGCAGGCCCAUGCUUGUUCCUUUCCUCUCUCUGCUCAGCCAGCAUAGUCUGUGCUGUUCAGCCUCAUGCUGGUCAACAAAUGGUCACUUUGUGGUGCUCCAGUUCCAACCCUCAGCUGUGUUGCACGCAGGAAGAAAGACAAGAGCUAAACUGCAGCCAGCAGAGUGUGCCCACUUUGAGAGAGCUUGUCCAGAAGCUGGGGAGGGUGGCAUCACGCCUUCUAUUUACAUCGGACCACCGCUCCCAGCAGUAGCUCCAGCUACAGAGCCUCUUGCUUUCCUCCUUCCUUGUCCUCCUCUGUGUGUGUGUGUGUGUGUGUGUGUGUGUGUGUGUGUAUAAAAUACUGUAUUAUCUCAUAUAUUUUUCUGAGUGUAUUGGUACCCUGAAUGAUAUUUGUUGGUAGGAAAACAGGAAAGUGUGGACAUUUGUGGGCAGCCGACUUUACCAGUUGGGCGUAGACUACCGAAAGAUUAUCAGUACAAUUUAUGCUCAAAAAAGUAGUGUGCAUGUCUCCGUUACUGUAUCUCAAACACCUAGGAGAAUACCUGGCUUACAGUUAAUACUAAGGACAUAUAUUUGAAGAAAGAAAGAGUUGGUGAAUGUAUACUCGUUUUAAGGUAGAGUGCUUUCAGCUUCGAACAAAGCCUAAUUCCCUUUUCCUUCAUUGUUCCUCUAUUUCUUUGGGGGCAAAACCAUAUUGUAUUGAUGGAUGAUGGCUGGUGCUUUCACUGGAGGUGCGUGUGGGAGGUACACAUCCAGACACGCUUACUCUCUUCGAGUGUGUGAUCUGGGGAUGAAUGUUUCUGUAUCAAAAUCUGAACUGAAACUGACUCCUUUCCCUUUGGAGUUUAAAUUGUUUCAACCACAGAGAGGAGUUGAAUAUUAACAAGUUAACUACGUUUAUCUGCCAGAAAAAUUAAAUAUCAGUACAGAAAAUAAGCUUAGAGUUCACUUAAGCUGCAGUAACAGUUUAAAAAGGCAUUUCAGUUUAGCGAUCAUGUAUUUUGGAUUACCUGGAAAUUUCUGUUUGUUGCAUUUGAAGUAGUUUAAGGAUUCCUGUCUUAAGAGUCCUGGUUGGCAUGAUGUUAGGUGCUCAUGCUACUCCAAGAGGGCCUGCUGAUAUUUACAGAAUCACAAAAGUAAUCCAUGACCUUUGAUUCUUGGUAUAAUGAUCUUCCCUCUAUAUUGUACUGACUGAUUGUGCAUGAAAAUAAUCUUCAAAGUUUUCCUCUUUUUUUUUAAUUCCAAUUGCUUGGGGCAUGCUUCCAUAAGAAUCUGGUUCAGUGUCUGGCUGGGGCAUUUCCAACAAGAAUCCUGAGUGAUUCUACUGCAGGUGAUACUGAGAUCACAAACUGAAAAACACUAAAAUAAAUGAAACGAAGCUUAAAUUCUACAGCCCACAGAAGAGCUCAUGGAAAUUCUUAUCAAGUUGAAACCUAGAGAAAAAUUUACUGCAUGAAGCUAAUGACAAGUGUUUUCCUCAUUAAAAAAUCAAAAGCACAACAUUUAAGUAUGAAUUAUCCUGCUAAUUCUCACCACGGUAGUGCACACGCCUAAUCUACAUCAUUAAAACAUACAUUUUAUAAUCUCUUUGCCACUUUCAUGGAUAAUUGAUGUAAUCGAAUUGAGGUGGAAUUGGAUUUUUCACUACAGAAUACCAACUGUGGCUGCUGUCCAGGGGAGAACGCUGUUCCAAGUACCCAACAUUGGCUGCUUUAGUUCAUGUAACAUUUAAUUGGCUGCUGAAAAAUAAAUUGCAAUUAGCAUUGACCAGCUUUUAAAUAUCUACCUUACAUUGCAGUUUUUUUCUUUUUAUUUUACUGCAAAAGAAAAAAAAAUAGAAUGCUUAAGAAUAGAAACACCUUGGUUUAUUUGAAAGUAAUACAGACAUGCUGGGCCAGAAUCAUGCUAGUUGCUUUAAAUAUAUUUUAUCCAAUUUUCAGACUAAUGUCAUGGGAGAUACUCUCUCCAUCAUAUAAAAUAGAAGCUUGAAACUCAGGCAGAUAAAAUAAUAUGUCUGAGACCCCAUUGAAAGUCAGAAUUGGAAACCAAGACUACCUUUGGCAAAAUGUGAUCUUCUCAACACAUAUGGUCUCUCUCUAUCUUUGACUUCUCUUUCUCUGUUUCAAUAAAUUUCUAACCUAUUUCUCCAUCCAUCCAUCCAACCAUCCAUCCAUCCAACCAUCCAUCCAUCCAUCCAUCCAUCCAUCCAUCCAUCCAUCCAUCCAUCCAUCCCAAAGGCUACCUACCAUACAAUUACUAUCUACAUUCCUAACUCUGCCUACCAUACAAUUAUUUGGCAUUAUCCGUUAAUUGGCAAUAGGGUUGCUAGCAGGUGUCCUGACAUUUUCCUAUAAUAAAAGUUCUAUAAAGAGUAAUAGACUUUUAAGGUGACAAGUUUAUUUUCAAGAAUGAUAAAAAUCUUUCCCAUCAUAUGUGAGGAAAUUUAGGCCCAGGGAAAUUAAGCAACUUCUUUGCACAGGCAUAUUAAGUUAUUGGCAGAGAUUAAAUAUAAUUAAGUCUUUUUGACUCAUAAUUCAUUUUUCCAGCUGGAACUUUACGUUAAAGACUACUAGUUAAAUAUUGAAUAAGCUCUAGUAUAACAUUUCUAGGUAACCAAAAGAGGGAGGAAAAUCUAUUCAUAGAGUCAAUUUGUUUUAUAAGUUAAUUUAAAGACUGAUUUAAAAAAUCAUGUGUACUUACAAAUUCCAGGAUUAAUAUCUUUCUUUCUAGAGACUGAUGCUGCUGUGUAGAACACAAGGCUGCAUUUCUGAAUGAAAUUAGCCCAUUUAUAAGGUUUGCCUUCAAUGGAUUCUGCUAAACCCAUGGUGUUGGCCAGAUGCAGUGGCUCAUGCCUGUAAUCCUGGUACUUUGAGAGGCUGAGGAGGGAUGAUCACUUGAACCCCGGAGCUGAAGAUCAGCCUGGGUAACAUAGGGAGACCUCUUUGCUACAAAAUAACAAUAACAGAAAUAAUAAUUUUAAAAGUAAGUAAAAUAAAACCAAGAUUUCUCUAGUGUUAGAUUUGGAUAAACCAACCCAAAUAAUAUCUAGCAGUUCUCAGAGCUGCAACAAUAGAUAAACCAUUUACAUGGUGUGUUAUAGACGAUUCUUAAAAUUUUCAAAUGUCAGUACUGAAUGGCAGGGAGUAGGAAUAAUAUUUGUCAGAGCAUCUACUAGUGCCAGUCAACAUGAAAAUGCUUACAUGUAAUAUUGAUGCCAAUCCUUACAACCGUUCUCUAAUUAAAUAGAUAACUUAGAAAUUAUAAAAAUAUUUUGUUACUUCUUUGAAAUUAGUGUUGUCAUUUUAUCAGUUUUCAAACUAAGAUUCAGAAGUGGUAACUUCCUUAAGAUCACAUAAAGAGGAUUACAUGAAAUGCAUUACCUGAAAAAAAAAUGUACUUCAUUCUAAUAUGAAUCACAACAUAGUAGAAUACGGCAGAAAACAUACUUAUAACACAACACAGCAUGUCUGGAAAAUAUGAAUGUCACGGUUCAGGUUGCAGUUAAUAAUUGACUUAGACUAGUUUCACAGAUAGUAAAAUGGUUACAUUAACAAUUUUAAAAUGAUAGAUAUGUUUUUGUUUCUUCCAGAAAAUACUUCUCUGAUUAAAAUAUUCAACUAUAUUCAAAAUUCAAAUAUUUACCAAACUUCUAAAAUAUCCUACUGUGUUUAGCAAUAUAAUAACUGCUGUUGGCUUUAAAAAAGAAUCAUAAGACUAAGGACGUUGAGGUUGAAAAAUCAGUGAAAUCAUCCCUACUGAUUUUUUUUUUUACUCUUAAAAAGGUUCAGAAAACUGACUUUAUACUGCUAUGUUUUAAACACCAUCUCUUAGUGAAAGCUUGUCUCCUUCAGUGGUCUCAAACAAAGCAGCAUAUAGAUGAGGUGUGGAGGCAGAUUGCCUCGGUUCAGAUCCCAGUUCUGCCACUGUUAGCACCUACCUUUUAUGUUUGUUGGCAUUAAAUGAUUUUAAUCAUGAAAUACUUAACAUGUUGCAUAAGAAAUUACCUAGCAUGUAAAUAUAAAACAACAGUACUAAUUAUUAGUCAACAAAAACUUGAUAAUUGCAAGUUCCGAGGCUUUUUUUUUUUUUCUGGUGGAAAGGGGAGAUUUUAAUAAGUAAGGAUGGUAAGGAAAACAUCCCUUUUAUUUUUGUGGUAAUGUGUAAUCGUUUCCUAAUUAAAAUGAGUGUUUAUCAUCAGACACCCACUGGUCAGACAAACCACAGAGUAAUAAGAAAAUUGCUGAGUGAUGUAGGAAAGUUAACUGGCCCCUCUGCCUUGAAACAAAUACAACAUUGGACAUUGGAGAGGGCCAGAGAGACCAUCUUCCCAUCUCAGCAUAGGAACCUAACCCAAGAAAUAGUUUACUAUUCUAGACAGAGAAUCCAUCACCUCCCCCGAAAACUUACUCUAACAUUUAAUCCUCUGACUGUGGGAGUCAAAAUUUAAUUUAGAAACAGAAAUUUAAUUUAAGUCUAUGAAAGAGAAUGUCAUAUUUUUUUUGUCUCAAACUCAGCAAUUGUGAGAUCAAUGUUUUAUGAAUACAGGGUUCUAAUUUAUAAUUUCACAAUUAUAAUUUGUAAUUAUAAUUUCAAUUAAGUAGUAUUAAAGUAGGGUGGUAUUAUCAAUAUUUAAUAUAGUUUUUGAAAAAUUACCACAUUUAUAACUGAUUUAUUUAGACAAUAUUUAUCAUGUAUCUACUAUACAUCAAGUACUAUGGUGUCCUGUUUAUACCUUGUCUAAUUCUCUGGAGGCUAUAACUUUUGUCAUUUCUUUAUUUUUAACCCCCCCAGUGAUUAACUCCAUAAAUAUUAAUAUACCAGUGUUUGUUAAAUUACAAAAUUUAGAUGUCAUAUAAUGUUUACCAUCACAAAAUAUAAAAAUUUAACUCAGUUUACUGAUGAAAAGAUACAGUCCUCAUCUGUCAGGUGACAAGGCAUUAUUUGAUAUUUACAAAUUUCAUAUUGAGUGGACUUUAUAAUUAUAAAUAGAUAUUAUAAUUUGGAUAUAAAAUUCUAUUUAGUUUUUAAAGAAUUAAAAUGAUUUGGAUUAUGUGUUUUUGUCCUAUGAAAAUAAACAAUAUGCUGUGGAAUCACAA